CAGUGGUGUGGCGCGGCAGACGGCUGAGACUUGAGAGAGAAGAAAGAAGACGGCGUCGCCAAGCAGUCAAGGUACGGGUGGGUAGGUUUUACUUUUGCCUUUCUCUGGAUUGUGGUUCUUCGCCUCUCUCGCAAACCGGGACAAUGGGCAGGUAAUGGGAGGACGAGAAAGAAUUAGGAAGGCCUCACCUGCCUCGACCCAAAACCGCCUCUGGAAUGAAACGAGUCC
This is a long non-coding RNA of Olea europaea var. sylvestris, 228 nucleotides long. RefSeq lists it as uncharacterized. Lineage: Eukaryota; Viridiplantae; Streptophyta; Magnoliopsida; Lamiales; Oleaceae. The transcript is spliced from 2 exons. The record is from RefSeq and is a predicted model, not a curated record.